AGCGAACGCUGGCGGCAGGCUUAACACAUGCAAGUCGAGCGGGCAUCUUCGGAUGUCAGCGGCAGACGGGUGAGUAACACGUGGGAACGUACCCUUCGGUUCGGAACAACUCUGGGAAACUGGAGCUAAUACCGGAUACGCCCUUAUGGGGAAAGGUUUACUGCCGAAGGAUCGGCCCGCGUCUGAUUAGCUAGUUGGUGGGGUAACGGCCUACCAAGGCGACGAUCAGUAGCUGGUCUGAGAGGAUGAUCAGCCACACUGGGACUGAGACACGGCCCAGACUCCUACGGGAGGCGGCAGUGGGGAAUAUUGGACAAUGGGCGCAAGCCUGAUCCAGCCAUGCCGCGUGAGUGAUGAAGGCCUUAGGGUUGUAAAGCUCUUUUGUCCGGGACGAUAAUGACGGUACCGGAAGAAUAAGCCCCGGCUAACUUCGUG
RNAcentral lists this ribosomal RNA (435 nucleotides) under uncultured bacterium. RNAcentral's name for it is "partial 16S ribosomal RNA". It matches the Rfam family "Bacterial small subunit ribosomal RNA", at positions 29 to 507 of the family's 1533-position model. The record is from RNAcentral.